This 2912-nucleotide long non-coding RNA is filed under the name Pomacea canaliculata. RNAcentral's name for it is "uncharacterized LOC112566560". The record is from RNAcentral. Lineage: Eukaryota; Metazoa; Mollusca; Gastropoda; Architaenioglossa; Ampullariidae.
CGUGGGAAGAUGGAUAAAAUGAUAGGUCAUCAUUUUCAUCUACUAAUUAGCUCAGAUGUCUAAAAAGUAAUAUUUUUAGGUGAUAAUGACAUCCAAUGUAUAUGUUAUAAAUCAACUUGAGAGGUACAAAAGAUCUGUUGUGCCAGAGUAGGUGUUCUCGAGGGCAGGGAGCAAUAAGUGUGAUAUCAUUUGUGCACAGACGUCAUCAGUCACUGGUGUCAUACACAUAAAUGACACAAACAAACACAUCAGUGACAGCAAAGUAUUUGUCACAGGUGUAUCCCCAUCCUCUGUAACACUCAUGCCUGUUGCAGGCCAGAGUUCAAGAUUUUCUGUGCCAAGCUGCUGACACAAGUUCCUCUUCUCCAUCUGUGGGCGGCAAGUUGUUACCCUGGAGACGCACCCGCCGGCUGGCAAGUGGAAUAUUUAACCAGACCCCUCCGGUCUCCGCCGGCCGUCGUCAGGGAAGUCGCGAAGGACGAGAAAAUCACUAAGCACCAACUUGUCCCAGCAUACACCGAGCGUGGUGUACCUGACUACACAGACGGUCCACCGAUAAAACAGUUGUAUCACCGAGGUCAGGGUCACUCAGGUAACUGGCCAGAUGACUGUGUCACGUGCGGCCGUGAGGUGGCCAGCUUCCUACACAGUCUCCGUGUUGGCUUUCCUGUUGAUACGCCAACAUCUGCGACAGUCUCCGCCACCAGUGACAGUACAAGACCAGCCCCUCUGCAGUGGAAAGACGUGUUAGUGUUGCACUGGUAUGGCGCUAGUGAAAACUCGGGUGUGGUGACUGCGUUUAGUGAAGCGGGUAUCCCAGUGUGGGUGAUGGAAGAUGAUGACAUCGAGGACGUGGCUACAGCCCGCAGUGACGUGGUGUGGGUGGCUGAUGGAGGUCGUGUUCGUGGUCUGGAGAGAAAAGUCAUCGUCUGUCUGGAGUCUCGUGUUGAGGAUUUCUCUGACCGCCUUUAUUGCAUGUCCCGGUGUACGUCACAACUUGUGAUUGUCUCUCCUGACAACUCGCCGCCUGAACACGAAUAACACCAAAGGCAGUAUAUUACAAAGUCCACUCAAUUAUAAUAAUAAGUUGAAAUUUAUAAAGCGCAAUAUCUCACCCAAAGGCGAACUCAUUGCACUGAACAAAUCACAAAAUAGUAACAAUGAUGUAGAACAAGAUCAUAAAAUAGUAACAAAGAUGUACAAGGAAGAACAACGUGAGGACUCGCUGCGUUCCGGCAGUAAAGGGAGAUAACUGUAGAUGUAACUGUAACGACUCCAGAAAAUAAAGUCAGUGACAUCAGGAGAAUACUGGGAAGAUAUUGAGUAAUCGUGAGAAUAUGAAGAAAUGUUAUCAUAUGAAACUUCAGUUUAUAUUAAAUGCAGCUCAAGAUCGCUGCCUAAGAGAAUGAAACAUUUCAGAUUAAACAUACAUUCCGGCAAGUGGUUGUCCCAUAGUUCGGGCAUGUUCAAGGUUGCACAUUCGCUAGUAAUAGCUUUCAUAGCUCACACGGUUCCAUGCAAGAUUGCAUGUUAUCACCUAAAUAUUAAUGCUGUUUGGGUAUGUAUAUUUGUUGUUUGAUGUAGUUUGAUCCUUUAUGCCCAUGUAACUAUUUUCCUAGGUUUUUGUUGGGAUUUUUUUGUUUGUUGGUUUUUUUGUUUGUUUGUUGUUUGUUUUUGUUUUGUUUUUUUUUUGGGGGGUGGCGUACCUUCGCCUAGCAGGUUUGAGGGUGGCGGCUCUCAGCAAUUUUUGUAUGUUCUAUUAGUUCAUUUGAGUUUUGGUGCAUAUUGUGUAGGCCGGUGCUUUUAAUCGUUAGUUUUAGUUGACUGCCGGAUUUUUCUGCCUAACGGUUUUUUUUCUGAAGAUCACACAGUCAGUCCUUUGCUUUAAAAAAUUUCAUGCAGAUUUCCUCUGCUUUGUGAUUGCAUCGCUACCAGCAGUCUUCUGACGAUGUCAGAAAAUGUUGACCCGAGUCUUUGUUGAUUUAUUCUGCGUUGCUACUGAAGACACAAUUUUUUUUUUACCUGUAGAUAAUAACUCAGGGCCAUUGAGAGCUAGCACAGGCACCGGGGCAGACGACUUGCUAAAACUAGUAGCUGGCAAAUUUCAUAGAUUCAAGACUGACAAGAAGAGGCUAAGGACACACAAAAGUUAUAUCAGAAAAAUUAAUAACAAAGCAUUGUGCUUGUUCUUUAUCUCAUCUCUCUGAUCCUACACCAGCAAGUCAGCUUAACGACAUCACCUCCCCCACUGGCAGAAAACAAGGUGAAGGUCACUCUAAACAUCAGUGUCAUCGUCGUCAUCAGAAGUGGUCAUCGUGCAGUUGACAGUGUGAACUGUGUCUAUCAGCUAUAUACAGGAAUAGACAAAGGUCACAGAGAUACAACCACAGUGCAUCUAGCUCAGCAGUCGCCAACAGGACCGCAGGUGGCUGUUAAUAGGAUUGAUGUAGAAAACUUACAUCGCGAGUUGUCUUAUGUACAGAAAGAUAUAUUAAUGAAGCAGCUCAACAUAAAACUGUUCUUCCACACUCUGGUCUAAGGGACGAAACCUCACUCAUGACACUGUGUGUAGGAUGCUAAGAAUUACUUCCCUUGUGUAUUUAUAUUUUUUUAUCACAAGGAAAGUAGAUUAUUAUAUUCAGAUCUCUCUCUCUCACACACACACGAGUUAUAAUAAUAAUGAUAGAGUGAGUGAUUUAUAUUGCGCGUUCACACGCUCGUAAGGAGCACGCUCUUAGUACUUUAAACAAGCACUAGACAAGGAUGACUCAUAAAAGACAAUAUUGAAAACGCAAUGAGCAGUUAGGUAAUAAGAAGUGAGAGUAUAUAGCUGACUACCUAUUCCUGUUGUUUGUUACGUAGAAAAUGGAUUCAUAUCUUGUUGCAUUAAAGUUAUUCCAGGUAUUGCAUCG